GCCCGGUUAGCUCAAUCGGUAGAGCGUGAGACUCUUACGAGCACGCGAUCUCAAGGUUGCGGGUUCGACCCCCGCAUCGGGCU
This 83-nucleotide transfer RNA is filed under the name Fusarium fujikuroi. Its description in RNAcentral is "tRNA-Lys". It matches the Rfam family "tRNA". Rfam says of the family: Transfer RNA (tRNA) molecules are approximately 80 nucleotides in length. Their secondary structure includes four short double-helical elements and three loops (D, anti-codon, and T loops). Further hydrogen bonds mediate the characteristic L-shaped molecular structure. tRNAs have two regions of fundamental functional importance: the anti-codon, which is responsible for specific mRNA codon recognition, and the 3' end, to which the tRNAs corresponding amino acid is attached (by aminoacyl-tRNA synthetases). tRNAs cope with the degeneracy of the genetic code in two manners: having more than one tRNA (with a specific anti-codon) for a particular amino acid; and 'wobble' base-pairing, i.e. permitting non-standard base-pairing at the 3rd anti-codon position. The record is from RNAcentral. RNAcentral also lists the same sequence under 2 other names. Lineage: Eukaryota; Fungi; Ascomycota; Sordariomycetes; Hypocreales; Nectriaceae.